RNAcentral lists this long non-coding RNA (729 nucleotides) under Nicotiana benthamiana. Its description in RNAcentral is "long non-coding RNA (NBEN_LNC013586)". Lineage: Eukaryota; Viridiplantae; Streptophyta; Magnoliopsida; Solanales; Solanaceae. The record is from RNAcentral.
UCGGAUGCUACACCCGUAAGGCUUUUUCCAAAAUAAGCCAUCAGUAUAUCUUCAUUUCCUCCUACACCUCUUAGUUUAUUGCAAUACCAUUUCAGGUGGUCUACGGGGUCUCCAUGUCCAUCCUAUAAGUUAAACUUUGGCAUCUUGACCCGGCAGGCAAUUGAACAUCAGAGAACAAAUACAAAUUCUUAUAAGCCACAUUCACCUGGCUUUCUAACCCUUGCAUAUUUCUCAAUUAUUGCUCCAGACUCUUUACCUUCUUAAACAUCUCCACUUGCUCCGCGUUCUUGGGUAGUUUAUCAAUUUCAACAUGAGGCUCAGUGUGAGGAGUGUAAGAGUAAGGAUCUGGGACCUUGAAUGUGGGUUCCAGGGCAUAGUAUUGGGUAUCUGGAGCUGGGAAUGCGGUUAUUUUGGCUGAUGGAUCAUGGAAAGUUUUGGAGGAAGUGCCAGAGUAAUAUUUGUAAGGGGUAUAGCCCGAUGCCUAUUGAGGAGAAAGGUCAACAGAAGUACCCAUCUGGACUUGGGACAGUGGUGGAACAGAGGCAUGGUUUUAUGUAUAGUUGGUCGGGAAUAAAGGUGGAGGAUGCCUCACGAUCCAAGACUGAUACUCUACCAUCUGCUAUUUCAACCUUUGGACCUCCUCUUUCAAUUCAGAUUCCGACUUCUCAAUCUCCCUAGACGGGUCAACAAUUCUUGCGCCCAAGUCUUUGCUAGCAAUGAAUACCUUGC